This is a long non-coding RNA of Brassica oleracea var. oleracea, 1014 nucleotides long. RefSeq lists it as uncharacterized. The transcript is spliced from 3 exons. Lineage: Eukaryota; Viridiplantae; Streptophyta; Magnoliopsida; Brassicales; Brassicaceae. The record is from RefSeq and is a predicted model, not a curated record.
UGUGCCAUCUAGAAAGUAGCUUUGUUUUCCAUCCCAAACUGUCAAAAGUCUCUCUUCACCUAUAGAUCAAUCGCUCUUCUCUCUCCUUUUCUUUUUCUUCAUUCAUAUAAACCACAUAUCAUCUCCUCCAUAUCUUAACAAUUUUAUAUCAAACCCUAAUUAAAAUCGGGAAAGAGAGCUAGAGAGAGAAGAUGGGAAAAAGGGAUGAGAGAAGAUGGGAAGAGGGAAGAUAUAAAGAUAAAGAGAAUAGAGAACGCAAACAACAGAGUGGUGACCUUCUCAAAGAGGAGGAAUGGAUUGGUGAAGAAGGCGAAAGAGAUCACAGUUCUUUGUGAUGCGAAAGUUGCUCUCAUAAUCUUUGCAAGUAAUGGUAAGAUGACUGAUUAUUGUUGCCCUUCCAUGGAUCUUGGUGCUAUGAUGGACCAAUACAAGAAAUUAUCUGGCAAGAAACUAUGAGAUGCUAAGCCUGAGAUACAUUUUAUCCUUCUAGUUAGCCGUCAAGGAAAAGUUAGGCUCACCAAAUGGUAUUCUCUUUAUACGCGCAGAAGGAAAUAUCCAAGGUUAUACCUUAGCUAAGAGGAGUGAUUCUUAAUCGAGGUCCCAAGCUCUGCAAUUUUGUUGAGCGGAGAGGCUACAAAGUUGUUUACAAAAUAUACGCGAGCCUCUACUUAUGUAUGUGUAUUGAUCAGGAGGAUAACGAGUUAGAGGUCCUCGAGAUCAUUCAUCACUACGUUGAGAUUCUCGACCGUUACUUCGGAAAUGUGAGUCAGUUAAACAAAGCACCCACCUUGGCACAACCUCUUGCCACGUUUCUCGACAUUGUGCAUACUCUUGCGAGCAUCUUUGAGCACACUGAUUCUCACCAUUGUCUCAAAGAAAAAAAAACUCAAAACCUCUUAGAUUGGUAGCUCGAGCGGCAGUGACUCUAUAGUUUAGCUUUAUUUGUUUGUUUACAAUGCAACACUUUAUUAUAAUAUUUUUAAAAAUCCAUUUGCGUCACUAGUCAAAUGCUUA